CCCAUCCUUCCCAGAGCCCCACCCUAUCCUACUGUCCCCAGUCUUAGCUUCUCCCACCCUGUCUACUCUCUCAGCCUUCCCCACCCUACCCCACCCCAUUCCCUUGAUGCUGACGGACGCUGAAAUGAUCAGGACACAGUUUGCACUUAACCACUAAAUCUUUAUUGAAAUUUUAUUGUAACAGCAAUGCAGUAUUAGUAAAUAGAGAGCAAUACAGAGUGAAGAGAAUACAGCAAUAAAGUUUGAAGGAGAGGUAAGGGUAAUGGGGUUCAGUGGUAGGAGGAGGGCUACUGACAGGGGUGAAAGCAAGGGUUUUUAUUUAUCACUUUUAUAACUUCCAUGAAAAUUUACCAUCCAUCAUUGACAAUUUCAAUCUAGCAAUAAUUUCUCAAAGGGCACUCAUCCUCUAUUAAAUUGUUUAUCUAAUAACCUUUUAACUUUAUCCCACUAGGGUUUUUAUUCUUGUCCAAUUCGCUCUAAAUAAGUUGGUCUCCUGCAGUUCCCUCCAAGUUUAUUUGAAAUGUUUCAGAAGUCCAAGAGGUACCUGCAAACUUAAACAGAAUUCCAGACUGCACCAUAUAGAUGUGCCCCUCUUAUUUCGUGCACCUGGGAGUUCACUGUAUUACUUUACAACUCAAUCAAACUAAUGCUUCUUCUUUCCACUAAGACAAAUACCUCAUUUCCAAACUAAAUUGACCCUUUACAAAUGUAUGCAAACUUUCUCUGUUUCAAUAUCCUAGCAUGAUAAAUUUAGCUAGUUCUCUCUAGGCUUGCCUAUCAAUGGGAGCUCCUAGAUCUUCUUCCUUUUUUAUUUAAUUAACAAUGCAAAUUUGGGCCAAAAGUCAAUUAAUUAAUUUUGCCAGUUUGUCUCAAAGACUCAAUUAUUGAUUUUGCUUAGUAAUUCAAUUCAUCUAUCUCCUUUAUCUUUUUGUAUUUUGCUCCCUUUCUAACUUCUUUAGUUAUCAAAUUCCAUUGAUUUUUUUGCUUUCUUAUGAAUAAAGGCAUUUUUUGUUGAAAAAUGCCAAAAAAAAUUUUAAAGAAUCUAAUUAACAUAAAUUUGAUUAACAACAAAAUAAAUCAAUUGAGUGAAAGGAAACUUAACUAAACUUCAAUAGUACAGCAUAAUAAAUUCAGAAUUACUUAUCCUUAACAUCUACAUUUAUAGAUAGCAUAUAUAGCAAUAGAGCAUAGUACACACUGCCAAAAAGUUAAUCACAAGC
Molecule: long non-coding RNA, 1220 nt
Filed under: Callithrix jacchus (white-tufted-ear marmoset)
Lineage: Eukaryota; Metazoa; Chordata; Mammalia; Primates; Cebidae
Description: lncRNA (ENSCJAG00000082826.1)
Source: RNAcentral